Non-coding RNA from Podarcis lilfordi (Lilford's wall lizard), 69 nucleotides. The record is from the annotation of a GenBank genome assembly. Lineage: Eukaryota; Metazoa; Chordata; Lepidosauria; Squamata; Lacertidae.
GCCAUAGCUCAGUGGUACAGCAUUUGCCUUGCAUGGAGAAGGUCCCAGAUUCAGUCUCUGACAUCUGCA